GUGGGGAAUCUUCCGCAAUGGACGAAAGUCUGACGGAGCGACGCCGCGUGAGUGAAGAAGGCCUUCGGGUCGUAAAGCUCUGUCAUCAGGGACGAACGGCCGGUGGAGUGGAAAGCCACCGGAUUGACGGUACCUGAGAAGGAAGCCACGGCUAACUACGUGCCAGCAGCCGCGGUAAUACGUAGGUGGCAAGCGUUGUCCGGAAUUAUUGGGCGUAAAGCGCGCGCAGGUGGGAUCUUAAGUCCAUUUUUAAAGUUCGGAGCUCAACUCCGUGAUGGGAUGGAAACUGGGAUUCUUGAGUACCGGAGAGGAAAGCGGAAUUCCCCGUGUAGCGGUGAAAUGCGUAGAUAUGGGGAGGAACACCAGUGGCGAAGGCGGCUUUCUGGACGGUGUCGGACACUGAGGCGCGAAAGCCAGGGGAGCGAACGGGAUUAGAAACCCGAGUAGUCC
RNAcentral lists this ribosomal RNA (450 nucleotides) under uncultured bacterium. RNAcentral describes it as "partial 16S ribosomal RNA". It matches the Rfam family "Bacterial small subunit ribosomal RNA", at positions 354 to 796 of the family's 1533-position model. The record is from RNAcentral.